RNAcentral lists this long non-coding RNA (1767 nucleotides) under Mus musculus (house mouse). RNAcentral's name for it is "long non-coding RNA chr3:28809757-28811524". The record is from RNAcentral. Lineage: Eukaryota; Metazoa; Chordata; Mammalia; Rodentia; Muridae.
UAUAGGGGACUUACAGGAUAGCAUUUGAAAUGUAAAUAAAAUAUCUAAUAAUAAAUAUUCAAGACAAGGACUCACAUUGAUCCAGAGAAAGCUCUCACUUGGGCUGUGCAUUUUGGACAUGAUAUUCUUGAGAUUUUUUUUUCCCCCUUGUCUCUAGCUACAUCAAAGAGUAUUGUUUUUUUAACCAUUGAUUGAUUGGUUUUUGGUAGAGGCAUUCUCCUUUGUGUGCUGUUAUGGAGGCUGAUGUGUCCUGCUUGAUCUGAGUAGACACAUGUAUGUUGUGCCAGAGGAGGCUGCAAGUGUGUAUCGGGUGAAACUGGAGGCAGGGAUGGCUCCAAACCCUAGUUGUGGUAUGCUUGUGUGUCCUUUGCCCAAGACGGAAAUAAAGAAAAUCUGGUAGGAAAACAAACACACAUACACACAAACACCAACUUUUAAGCAGUCUUUCUAUUUUGUUUAAGGCUGUGUAUAACAGUAGAUCAGAGCCUAAAACAUGGAAUUUGGUUGGGGAGGGGACUAGUUUGGGGACAUUUUGGGGAACACACUGGCACAGAGGUACUAGUUCUGGGGUGACAUCGGGUAUAAGGUUCGAAGGACAUACAGCGGGUGGUUUGGUAAUGACUUCAAGGUAAUAAGCAUUUGCUCGGGUUAGGGCUUCCAGGAAGCACUGGUCAUCCGAUGACUAGACACUGCAUUAGCCAGGGUUCUCUAGAGGAACAGCAAGACAAAAUGAAUAUAUAUAUAUUUAUAUUUAUUUAUAUAUAAUUAUAUAUAUAUAUAUAUUUAAAAAGGGGUUAUGGCUGGAGUAGCCCAACAAUGGCGGUCUCACCCCAGAGCGGCUGACAGGUCAGUGGUUUCUCAGCAAAGGCUGAGUGUCUCGGCCAUACCAGAGGAUUGAAGGAUUCCUGGAGAGCUGCUGGUCUAGGGCUAUGCCGGAAGCAGGUAGGAGCCAGUUCUAUUAGCAAAGAGAUCAACAGAGAGAGCAAGAGCAGGUGAAUCCGCAGUGAGCACAGAGGUAAGCACGAACCAGAAACUUUUCUUUUUCUAUCUUCCUUUCUAUGUGCUCCCACCACAGGGCGCCCUCCACAUUUAAACUGACCUUCUCACUUGAAAUAAUCUGACCAAGAGAACCUCUCACUGAGCCAGGCAGUGGCUGCACACGCCUUUAAUCCCAGCAUUCUGGAGGCAAGGGCAGGGAGAUCUCUGUAAAUUCAAGGCCAGCUUGGGCUAGAGAGCAAGUUCCAGGACAGUCGGGACUACACAGAAAAACCCUGUCUUGGAAAAGGAAAACAAAACAGAUAGACAGACAAACAACCACAAAACAAAACAAAAACUCUCACUGGAGUGCCAGUGGCUAGCCUGAUUCCAGGUCCAGACAAGUUGCCAUCAAGUUCAGCCAUUGCAGGCAUCUUUAUGAUUUUACCUCACAGAAGAUUUUACCUCAGAUCAGUCCCCAAGGCCAUCCUCCUGAAGCAACUGCAGCUCCUUAUAUUGGGUGAGAAGGAAUAUACUUUGUUCUUUUUGUGGGUGUGUCAGCAUUCUUGAUUUUGUGCUCAGACAGAAUUCUGAAUUGCUUCGUCUUAUUGCUCUGCUGCUUCACAGUUAUCAUGCCUGUGUCUGCAGGGCAGGUUUUAUGAAAAAAAUGCUGUGUUUUACUGAAUAUGUGGAUGUAGCUGGGAGUGUCAAGCUAUCUCCUAGCUGCUUUUCUGUCUCUCAAUGGCUAAGCACCAAUAAAUUGCGAACAGUACAAAAACAAAACAAAUGAAC